This 377-nucleotide ribosomal RNA is filed under the name Burkholderia multivorans. RNAcentral's name for it is "bacterial SSU rRNA". It matches the Rfam family "Bacterial small subunit ribosomal RNA", at positions 514 to 888 of the family's 1533-position model. The record is from RNAcentral. Lineage: Bacteria; Pseudomonadati; Pseudomonadota; Betaproteobacteria; Burkholderiales; Burkholderiaceae.
GCCGCGGUAAUACGUAGGGUACGAGCGUUGUCCGGAAUUAUUGGGCGUAAAGAGCUCGUAGGUGGUUGGUCACGUCUGCUGUGGAAACGCAACGCUUAACGUUGCGCGUGCAGUGGGUACGGGCUGACUAGAGUGCAGUAGGGGAGUCUGGAAUUCCUGGUGUAGCGGUGAAAUGCGCAGAUAUCAGGAGGAACACCGGUGGCGAAGGCGGGACUCUGGGCUGUAACUGACACUGAGGAGCGAAAGCAUGGGGAGCGAACAGGAUUAGAUACCCUGGUAGUCCAUGCCGUAAACGUUGGGCACUAGGUGUGGGGGGCAUUCCACGUUCUCCGCGCCGUAGCUAACGCAUUAAGUGCCCCGCCUGGGGAGUACGGUCG